This 300-nucleotide unclassified non-coding RNA is filed under the name Hevea brasiliensis (rubber tree). The record is from RNAcentral. Lineage: Eukaryota; Viridiplantae; Streptophyta; Magnoliopsida; Malpighiales; Euphorbiaceae.
CUGGAAAGGAGAAACAUCAAACAUGGCCAGAGGAGAUGCCAUGGGCAAGAGAGGUGAUCCCGGCGCAAGAUGUUGUAUAGGUGUUGGCACAUUGGUGGGAUUGCGCUGUGCAGAAACCAUAUUCAAAGUAUUCAGGUCCCCUUCACUAACACCCAUCGGAGAAGAAGCAGGAUUAUGCUUCCAAUCAGGUUGCUUCCCAGAUGGAAUAUAGGUGGUACCCAUGAAACUCAAGCCAACUUGUCCAAACUGUCCAACUGGUGCAAAAUGAUUAUACACAACCAUGUGCGGAGGACCUUGAAC